AUUGAACGCUGGCGGCAGGCUUAACACAUGCAAGUCGAGCGGAGAUGAGGUGCUUGCACCUUAUCUUAGCGGCGGACGGGUGAGUAAUGCUUAGGAAUCUGCCAUUUAGUGGGGGACAACAUUCCGAAAGGAAUGCUAAUACCGCAUACGUCCUACGGGAGAAAGCAGGGGAUCUUCGGACCUUGCGCUAAAUGAUGAGCCUAAGUCGGAUUAGCUAGUUGGUGGGGUAAAGGCCUACCAAGGCGACGAUCUGUAGCGGGUCUGAGAGGAUGAUCCGCCACACUGGGACUGAGACACGGCCCAGACUCCUACGGGAGGCAGCAGUGGGGAAUAUUGGACAAUGGGCGGAAGCCUGAUCCAGCCAUGCCGCGUGUGUGAAGAAGGCCUUUUGGUUGUAAAGCACUUUAAGCGAGGAGGAGGCUACUAGUACUAAUACUACUGGAUAGUGGACGUUACUCGCAGAAUAAGCACCGGCUAACUCUGUGCCAGCAGCCGCGGUAACAC
RNAcentral lists this ribosomal RNA (504 nucleotides) under uncultured bacterium. Its description in RNAcentral is "bacterial SSU rRNA". It matches the Rfam family "Bacterial small subunit ribosomal RNA", at positions 30 to 526 of the family's 1533-position model. The record is from RNAcentral.